AGACCGACAGCAUUAUUCCCCUCCUGAUACCAAUAAACCGUUCGAAAUAAACGCUGCUAGGCUCUGCGUCCUUCUCGAACGCAUCCAAACCCACUGCGCUGCGCGCCACAUCCUGUUACAGACAUGAUUUACAUUACUCAUUUGAGCAAUCUUGGCACCGCGUGGGAGCUCAGGGUGUGUGAGAUGCACGGAUUUAUUGGAGGGACGAACCGGAACAAAGAAAAAGCGAAACUAAAAGCAGAGGCGCACGAGCAGCGGACAAGGACGCGCGCGGUUAGAGUUUUCAGACUGCCAUGUUGAGAUGAGGCUUUGGAUGGACAGACACUGCUGGAUGUGGUUCAUGGUGUGCAUAGGGAUGGUCCUUUGUUAUUCAGCACAAGGAAAUUAUGAACACUAUUUUGAAAUACUGGAGGAUUUAUUGCCAGCAGAUUAUAUGUUUAAGAAGCCAGAAAGCAGAAACUGUGUUGACAAGAAAUGCAACUGUUCUGAAGUGACUGAAAUACUUUGCUGUUUCCUCCAGAGGGAGCAAACUAGAACAUGCAAAAAAAAUUGCAUGCUCCCUAAUUGUGCGACAUGUUGUAACUACACUCAUAAUCUCCAGGAAAACAUAAAGGGACUGCUUAAUGGGAUGAUUUCCUGUCAUGAAUGCAAAGAGCUCAAUUGUACUCUCCUUAAAGAAACACAGAUGGUCAAUUUCACAGAAUUCAGAAGGAAAUAUAAAGAAUGCCAAGACGAGCGGCAAAACUGUACAGUUACACCCACACCAAGGAAAGCUCUGGAAUUCUCCACGGGCACUAUGGGCACUACAAACACUACGAGCAGUACGAACAUUAUGAGCACUACGAGCGCUACGGGGAAUACGAACACUAUGGGGACUACGAGCACUAUGAGCACUAGAAGCACUACGCGGACUACGAACACUACGGGGAUUACAAACACUACGAGCCCUACGAGCACUACGAGGAGUAUGAACACUACGAACACUACGAGCCCUACGAACACUACGAGCCCUACGAACACUACGAGCCCUACGAACACUACGAGCCCUACGAACACUACGAGCCCUACGAACACUACGAGCACUACGCGGACUGCGAACGCUACGGGGACUACGAAGACUACGAGCGCUACGGGGACUACGAGCACUACAAGCAAUAUGCCGCGAGUGAGCACGAUAUUGUAUCCAAGCAGUCCAGCCUCCAGCAAACCAGAACCUUCCUCCACAAGUCUUACAACAGAAUUGCAAACAACAGAUUCAACAGUAACAACGACAAAAUCCCCAACGACAUCCAAAUCACAGUCAGGUAACGGAACCCUGUGCAGUCCGCAGCUCCCAGGAACUGAAAUGUCUAACAUUUUGAAAGCUUCACAAGCAGGUGUGAUUUCAUCACUGACUGCAUUCAUAAUCCUCGUACUGCUUGUAUGCUACCUCUACCUUGAAAACAGACGACUGAAAAGACUGAUGGACUCCGCUGCUGGCAGUGAAGUCGUGUGUAUUUCAGUUCUACGAGAAGGUGACCGUAAUAUCCAGAAUUCUCCAGAGACUGAGGAGUGAACAAAUAAGCUGAUAGUGAAAGUAAAGGGAAGACUGACUGAAACAAGCCUCUGGAAACACUGAUGAAGCUGAUGCUGUGAUAUGUACAGUAGUGGGGAAAAGAACCAUGUAUUCCUGCAUGUUUAAUAAAUGCUGCUGAAAUUGCUAAUAUUGUUACA
This is a long non-coding RNA of Scleropages formosus (Asian bonytongue), 1713 nucleotides long. Lineage: Eukaryota; Metazoa; Chordata; Actinopteri; Osteoglossiformes; Osteoglossidae. The record is from Ensembl.